CAGAAAUUUAUUUUAUCUUUUCUUAACAAUUUAAUUAUCAACAAUUUAUUUACAUAAAAUUUUAAUUCAUUCUGAAUUUUAACACUCUAUAAAAAACACCCUGGUUAUUAAAAUGUCCCUGUCUCACUUCCUGCCAUUAAUCAGUCAGUAACAAGGAAUCCGGUUAUGUUUGACCAGGACGUCCAGGUUAAACUAACCACACUAUGUUAAGGGAUAAAUAACCAGGGGCUGGGGUCAUUUAACCAAGGUGUUUUUUAGAGUGAUGGAAUAUAAAAUAGAAAUGUUAGAAAUAUACAGGUACAUAAAUCUGGUUACCUUAGGCGUGAGAGGUUACUCCACGGUCCACGCUCGAGAUAUACCGGUAUCGCAUAUCUGCUUUAACGUGUUUUUCUCCUGCGAAUGUGGAAAAACCUGUGACACCCGGGUAAAUUCGGGUGAUCCAGUGGCGGACACUAAGGUUGGGGGGGGGGGAGGCACCCCCCCCCCCCAAUAAUUUUGAAAUACAUUGAAUUAUUGAAUGAUAGCUGAUUAACUGUGUAACCAAGUUGUGACAAUGAUUUUACAAUCACGAAAGCCUUGACAAGCUAUAAUACACGCUUUCGUAAAGUACGUCACUUUGGCUAUAGAGCCUCGCUUUCGUGAUUGAGACGUGGCCUUUAACUGAUGUCUGAUACAUGAAAACGAGGCUCUAUUGCCAAAGUGACGUACUUUCCGGAAGGGUGUAAUUCAGCAAACUUCCGUGAUAUUUAAUUACAUCGAAAAUUACUUUUAAAGAACUGACACUCGCAAGAACGAGAUUGCGAGAGGAUUAGAAUUAGCCAUUUCCCAAAAUCCUGGGUCUAGUCCCUUGUUGGAGGGACAAGAAAUAUGGCAGGACACAUUUAAAUUAAAUGUUUAAUGUAAAAAGGAGAUAUUUCAUUUUUGGUGGUGUAAAAAGUUGAUAUUUGAUUGUAGAUACUUCUACUCUUUCACAUAUUUGACGCCUGUCUCCAUAUAUUUUGUCCCUCCAAACGAUCCCAGAAUGUAUUGUGAUCUAUUUUAGGAAAAGGCUAGUAUGCAUGUUGGCAACCUACAUUUUACACAUUAUUUCGCGUCCGCCACUGUCGUGAACCUUCAAAAUAACAAUUCACACAAAACAAUUUAACAUAAUUCAACCAUUACUUGUAUAUGAUCAAGGCAGUUUGUACGAAGCCCGUUUAGUUUCAAAUGGUCGGGGCAGGGGCGGCGGAACAGGGGGGGGGGCUAGGGGGGCUAAAGCCCCCCCAGAAGUGUUUUGGAAAAUUUGAAUUUUUGGAAAAAAAAUUUAGGUAUAAGGGGACAAAUUUGCAAUAUUUUGUUUAAAAAAAGUGUAUUUCCGAAAAUUUUUUUUUGAUAUAAGUCCGAAAAUUUUUUUUCGUCCCUUUUUUGUGGCUAGCCCGUUCGCGGGCUAGCCACUAUGAUACGGGAUGAGCGGUGGUGGUCGGUCAACGAUGUCUGUCCGGAUUGUCGUGAAAUUAUCGUGAGCGGAAGUGAGGCCGACAGUAUGGCGAUCGUUUGUUUCGUGGUUUCGGUUAUCAUCGGAAAUUUGGCGGAAGUGAUGAGGCCCGACAGUUUGACGAUCGGUUAUUUCGGUUUUCAUCGGAAAUUUUUGAACUUCAUGCCUGAUAAACAUUUCAUGCAAACAAAUAUUUUCGUUUUGAGGUCUUUUCGACAGCUGCUGUUUAAAAAAAUACGAAAAUUUUGCGAACGAUAAGAGAAGUUCUACAAAAGGUAAGUUAGGAGAAAUCAAGGAGAUUUUGAUCACGCUUGAUAUAAAGCUUUAUAUAGUGAGUUUAUAAUCCUGUGGUUUAUAAUCAAACGUUCUUGCACAGAUCUUGAAUUUUUAUCCAUUAUGUGGGUAAAUUUAUAAGAAGCAAGCCCAUUGUUUACAUAUUUUACAACGAUACUAAAACCGCCCUAUCCACUUGCAGGUAUAAAACUACAAUUAACACAGAAAACAGGCGGGACUAUUUUAUGAGUUUAUGCUAAUAUAGUCUAUUGUAGUCACUAGCCUGGAAGCUCAGUCUGUUUACAUACAGUUGAAGGAUCUUCUAGAUGGAAGUAAUUGAGUGAAAAUGUAUUAUUUUACAUUCAUUAGACCUAUUAAACCAGGAAAUGCAACUGUAGGUGCAGUUUAUUUUUGGAUAUCUAGUCCAGAUGUAAAUAACAUAUAUCUGAUCUAGGAUCAGCAGGGACGUAGAGACACGGGCGUGUGUGUGUGUGUGUGUGUGUGUGUGUGUGGGGGGGGGGUUGUAAACCCCACAACUGUGAAACUCAGGUAAAACUCAUGUACAUUGUAAAUUUUGACAUUUUCAGGUAAACUUUGUGUAACAAAGUCGUUAUUUUUGUAAAAUGAUGACCAUUUGACAUCCGGCACCCCACCCCAAACUUCAGAUGCUUUGCUACGUCUCUGAACAUUAGUGCAAUCACCAUACAACACUGACCCUUGCAGUUACGAGGGUAUAUAUGAAGAAGAAAACCCACAGCCAUGUGAUGAGGUCAUAUCGACACGUUUCAACAUUUCUUUUCAGCACUUAAUAACAGCAGUGUCAAUUGAGUAGCAUAUUCAUACUCUUAUUGCCACAGUUAAAUGUUGUUUAACCCAAUGAGCUGCAAUGUGCCCCAGUGCACCCUACUUAUUUCUUUUACUUGUCUAACGCCAGACGAUUUUACCCGUCAAUGGGGAAGCUCUGCUGCUUAAUGGGUUAAAUUUAUACCUGCAUCAUUUACAAUGUGUCAGUCUUGUGAGCUGCCAGUAAAUAUUUGGUUCUUAAUUUUAAACAAUUUGCAGAUGAAAGCACAAUUCAAAAUCAUAGUGAUGCAUGGCAUCUACAGUACUUCAAACAACUAAGUGAACACAUAUUCUGAUCAAUUUGCUGAUAAUAUGGUGACUGGUGAUAAUAUUGGAUAAUAUAGGAAGAUCAGGAUAUUUGCACAAGUGUCAGGGCAAUACAAGUUAGUGGUGUCGGUGAUGACAUAAUUGAUUUGAUGAGUUCAUUAUAAAUUCCGAUGCUGUUAGAUCUUACAAUAAAUAAAAAUGUUUAAAAAUAUAAUAUAAUAUAUUAUUAAAUACAUUAUGUUAAAUGAAGAACUUUGAAUUUAAAGGUUUUAUGAAAUCUGCAAUGCCAGCAAUGCCAGCAAGAAAAGCUAAUAACUUGUAAACCAGACAACAGAAUAUAUCUGUAACAAGAAACCGGUGUAAUGAAAUCUUAGUGAAUUACAUAUUAGUGCAAUUUUGAAAAACAAAAUAAAAUUGACAUUAGUUGCUGUAUGUAUUAUAUCAUUAUUAAAGCAAAACCAUGUUGCUUUUAAAUCAAGUGAUUCUAACCAUUUGUUGGCAUUGUAAGAAAGAUACUGCAUCUGUUUUAUUUUGACCAUUGUUCUAUUGUAAUGAUUAAUUUUGUAUCAAAAUGAAUGUUUGUGAUGAAUGUUCAUGACGAUGUGAAGUCCGGCUGUAUUCGACCAGGCUGAGUAGGCUAGCCACAUGUACGCAGUGCGUACCUAUUUUUUUGUAUAUUGUACCCCUAAAGUGGUACACUGACCGAAAUAUUUUUGGCGACGGGGAGGUCGCCGAAAAAAUUUAGCCCCCCCCAGAACGAAAUCUGUUCCGCCGCCGCUGGGUCGGGGACCGGUCAUUAUUUAUGGCAGGGGUGGGGGCCGAAGAGAAAAUGGUGGGGUAACUGAAAAAUAAUAGUUGCUAUAGGUGGGGUGGCCAAAAAAUCCUUGCAUGCAGAGGUGGGGUAAAAAAAAAUAACCUUGCUUUAAUCACACACAAUACAAUAUAUACUACUAUCAGAAUUUAAUAUGUGAUUAUUCUAAUUUUUUAAUAAAAUAUUAUUGCUUUCCAAAAUGUUGACAGAAACACCCCCCUCAACCCACCCGUAAAGGGUCAUUUUUAUAUUCAUUUACACACAAAAUCUCCAAAGACUCCAAUUACCAGACAAAAUAUAUACUGCCUAUAUAUAGGGGCUGUUUAUAUGGUGCAACUGCAAGCCAUCCCCAGGUACCCAAGCUGGCCCAGUUUUGGCAAGAUCUUGCCUUUGUUGUUAUUUCUUACUAAAGUUCACCUUGUGUAUAUAUGGGUAAAGAGCGGGCCCGGCUAUAGCUAAGCGAGAUCCCGCCCCUUUAGCCCGAGAUCUUGCUUCAGGAAAAGUGACCUUAAGUCUGUAGCCCCUAACCCCGGGCAUCCAGCCUCACCCCCAUAUAAACAUCCUCUUAUUACAUAUCUCAAAAAGUAUAUGUACUGUCUAUUAAAUUUUCAGGAUUUAAUUUUUGGGCAUCUACACUUGAUACUGCAUAACUAAUAUUUAUAUCCAGUAUGUGCUUGUAAACCAUGUGGACAGUUCAGGUAGCAAAUCAUGAAAUAUGCCCCAUGCCCCUUGUGAAUCUGGAGAAUCAUUCCAAUGGCUAGUUCACAAUAUGUUCAUCUCUAGCCUUUGGCAACUAGCUGUUUUUCUUUACUAGCAGAUCAUGUAUACAUGGAUAAAAUAAGAGAAAUCUAUUUACCCGUUUUACAGAUUAAUUUAAUUGUUUAUAUAAUCAUACUUGGAAUUCGGAUGGAUAUCUUUAUCUUCACACUGUAUAACAGCAACUUUUUCUCAUUAAUUUACACUAACUUUCUAAAUUCAGAUAUUCUCACAUGGGACAAAUACUUUAGUAUCGUU
This is a non-coding RNA of Paramuricea clavata, 4682 nucleotides long. The record is from the annotation of a GenBank genome assembly. Lineage: Eukaryota; Metazoa; Cnidaria; Anthozoa; Malacalcyonacea; Plexauridae.